This 301-nucleotide ribosomal RNA is filed under the name uncultured bacterium. RNAcentral's name for it is "partial 16S ribosomal RNA". It matches the Rfam family "Bacterial small subunit ribosomal RNA", at positions 509 to 807 of the family's 1533-position model. The record is from RNAcentral.
CAGUCGCCGCGGGAAUACGUAGGGUGCGAGCGUUAAUCGGAAUUACUGGGCGUAAAGCGUGCGCAGGCGGUUAUAUAAGACAGAUGUGAAAUCCCCGGGCUCAACCUGGGACCUGCAUUUGUGACUGUAUAGCUAGAGUACGGUAGAGGGGGAUGGAAUUCCGCGUGUAGCAGUGAAAUGCGUAGAUAUGCGGAGGAACACCGAUGGCGAAGGCAAUCCCCUGGACCUGUACUGACGCUCAUGCACGAAAGCGUGGGGAGCAAACAGGAUUAGAUACCCGUGUAGUCCCUGUCUCUUAUAC